Molecule: ribosomal RNA, 253 nt
Filed under: uncultured bacterium
Lineage: Bacteria
Description: partial 16S ribosomal RNA
Rfam family: Bacterial small subunit ribosomal RNA
Source: RNAcentral
UACGUAGGGGGCAAGCGUUAUCCGGAUUUACUGGGUGUAAAGGGAGCGUAGACGGCUUUGCAAGCCAGAUGUGAAAGCCCGGGGCUCAACCCCGGGACCGCAUUUGGAACUGUGUGGCUAGAGUGUCGGAGAGGCAGGCGGAAUUCCUAGUGUAGCGGUGAAAUGCGUAGAUAUUAGGAGGAACACCAGUGGCGAAGGCGGCCUGCUGGACGAUGACUGACGUUGAGGCUCGAAAGCGUGGGGAGCAAACAGG